RNAcentral lists this long non-coding RNA (213 nucleotides) under Elaeis guineensis (African oil palm). Its description in RNAcentral is "long non-coding RNA (EGUI_LNC080480)". Lineage: Eukaryota; Viridiplantae; Streptophyta; Magnoliopsida; Arecales; Arecaceae. The record is from RNAcentral.
GGGCUUCGAGUGGAUGAUCUAUAGAGGUCGGACGAUCUGUGUGACUGUCCAAAAUUAGUGAGAGCUUCAUUCCAUACCUACCAGUAGUAGAGUUCAUCAAUUCAUGAUAAGGUGAUGAGUUUUGAACUCAAUCGAUGUGAUCUAAAGGUUAGAUUUGAUUUGAGACAUUGAUGUGAUUAAUGCAAUUUUUAUUUUUAUCUUAGAUUUUAUAUA